Long non-coding RNA from Dreissena polymorpha, 348 nucleotides. RefSeq lists it as uncharacterized. The transcript has 3 exons. Lineage: Eukaryota; Metazoa; Mollusca; Bivalvia; Myida; Dreissenidae. The record is from RefSeq and is a predicted model, not a curated record.
CGGAUGAUAACUCAAGAACGCUUAUGCCUAGGAUCAUGAAACUUCAUAGGUACAUUGAUCAUGACUCGCAGAUGACCCCUAUUGAUUUUCAGGUUACUAGGUCAAAGGUCAAGGUCACGGUGACCCGAAAUAGUAAAAUGGUGUCCGGAUGAUAACUCAAGAACGCUUAUGGCUAGGAUCAUGAAACUUCAUAGGUACAUUGAUCAUGACUGGCAGAUGACCCCUAUUGAUUUUCAGGUCACUAGGUCAAAGGUCAAGGUCACAGUGACAAAAAACAUAUUCACACAAUGGCUGUCACUACAACGGAGAGCCCAUAUGGGGGGCAUGCAUGUUUUACAAACAGCCCUU